UACGAAGGGAGCUAGCGUUGUUCGGAAUCACUGGGCGUAAAGCGCACGUAGGCGGCUGUGUCAGUCAGGGGUGAAAUCCCGGAGCUCAACUUCGGAACUGCCUUUGAUACAGCACGUCUUGAGUCCGAUAGAGGUGGGUGGAAUUCCUAGUGUAGAGGUGAAAUUCGUAGAUAUUAGGGAGAACACCGGUGGCGAAGGCGGCCCACUGGAUCGGUACUGACGCUGAGGUGCGAAAGCGUGGGGAGCAAACAGG
Molecule: ribosomal RNA, 253 nt
Filed under: uncultured bacterium
Lineage: Bacteria
Description: partial 16S ribosomal RNA
Rfam family: Bacterial small subunit ribosomal RNA
Source: RNAcentral